UAGGGAAUCGUUCGGCAAUGGACGAAAGUCUGACCGAGCAACGCCGCGUGAGUGAAGAAGGUUUUCGGAUCGUAAAACUCUGUUGGUAGAGAAGAACGUUGGUGAGAGUGGAAAGCUCAUCAAGUGACGGUAACUACCCAGAAAGGGACGGCUAACUACGUACCAG
Molecule: ribosomal RNA, 166 nt
Filed under: uncultured bacterium
Lineage: Bacteria
Description: partial 16S rRNA
Rfam family: Bacterial small subunit ribosomal RNA
Source: RNAcentral